Molecule: ribosomal RNA, 513 nt
Filed under: uncultured bacterium
Lineage: Bacteria
Description: bacterial SSU rRNA
Rfam family: Bacterial small subunit ribosomal RNA
Source: RNAcentral
UAGUCUACGCCGUAAACGAUGGUUACUAGCUGUUUGGACUUCGGUCUGAGUGGCUAAGCGAAAGUGAUAAGUAACCCACCUGGGGAGUACGAUCGCAAGAUUGAAACUCAAAGGAAUUGACGGGGGCCCGCACAAGCGGUGGAGCAUGUGGUUUAAUUCGAUGAUACGCGAGGAACCUUACCAGGGCUUAAAUGUGGAUUGAUAGAGGCAGAGACGCCUUUUUCUUCGGACAAUUCACAAGGUGCUGCAUGGUUGUCGUCAGCUCGUGCCGUGAGGUGUCAGGUUAAGUCCUAUAACGAGCGCAACCCCUGUUGUUAGUUACCAGCACGUAAAGGUGGGGACUCUAGCAAGACUGCCGGUGCAAACCGCGAGGAAGGUGGGGAUGACGUCAAAUCAUCACGGCCCUUACGUCCUGGGCUACACACGAGCUACAAUGGUAGGUACAGAGAGCAGCCACUACGCAAGUAGGCGCGAAUCUAUAAAACCUAUCUCAGUUCGGAUCGGAGUCUGCAA